Molecule: ribosomal RNA, 470 nt
Filed under: uncultured bacterium
Lineage: Bacteria
Description: partial 16S ribosomal RNA
Rfam family: Bacterial small subunit ribosomal RNA
Source: RNAcentral
GACGAACGCUGGCGGCGUGCUUAACACAUGCAAGUCGAACGCUGAAGCACCAGCUUGCUGGUGUGGAUGAGUGGCGAACGGGUGAGUAAUACGUGAGUAACCUGCCCUUGACUCUGGGAUAAGCCCGGGAAACUGGGUCUAAUACUUGAUGCUACAUGUCACCGCAUGGUGGUGUGUGGAAAGGGUUUACUGGUCUUGGAUGGGCUCACGGCCUAUCAGCUUUUUGGUGAGGUAAUGGCUAACCAAGGCGACGACGGGUAGCCGGCCUGAGAGAGUGACCGGCCACACUGGGACUGAGACACGGCCCAGACUCCUACGGGAGGCAGCAGUGGGGAAUAUUGAACCAUGGGCGAAAGCCUGAUGCAGCGACGCCGCGUGAGGGAUGACGGCCUUCGGGUUGUAAAACUCUUUCAGCAGGGAAGAAGCCACAAGUGACGGUACCUGCAGAAGAAGCGCCGGCUAACUACGUG